This 393-nucleotide ribosomal RNA is filed under the name uncultured bacterium. Its description in RNAcentral is "partial 16S ribosomal RNA". It matches the Rfam family "Bacterial small subunit ribosomal RNA", at positions 523 to 918 of the family's 1533-position model. The record is from RNAcentral.
AUACGGAGGAUGCGAGCGUUAUCCGGAUUUAUUGGGUUUAAAGGGAGCGUAGGUGGGAUAUUAAGUCAGCUGUGAAAGUUUGGGGCUCAACCUUAAAAUUGCAGUUGAUACUGGUUUCCUUGAGUACGGUACAGGUGGGCGGAAUUCGUGGUGUAGCGGUGAAAUGCUUAGAUAUCACGAAGAACUCCGAUCGCGAAGGCAGCUCACCGGGCCGGAACUGACACUGAUGCUCGAAAGUGCGGGUAUCAAACAGGAUUAGAUACCCUGGUGGUCCGCACAGUAAACGAUGAAUACUCGCUGUUUGCGAUACACGGUAAGCGGCCAAGCGAAAGCGUUAAGUAUUCCACCUGGGGAGUACGCCGGCAACGGUGAAACUCAAAGGAAUUGACGGGG